RNAcentral lists this long non-coding RNA (348 nucleotides) under Vitis vinifera (wine grape). Its description in RNAcentral is "long non-coding RNA (VVIN_LNC007678)". The record is from RNAcentral. Lineage: Eukaryota; Viridiplantae; Streptophyta; Magnoliopsida; Vitales; Vitaceae.
AUGAAAACAGGAAUUAUGUCAUGAUUCAAAACAAAGAAGAGGGUUAGAAAAUACAAAAGAUAUCCAACAAUGAAAUUUAAAGAGAAGGAACCAAAAACUUGUUAGUUCAUAAUAAGCUUAAAACCGACCAUGUAGGCGGUAUAAAAUAAAAACAUAAACUUAAAAACAAAGCUUAAUUAAAACCGACCAUAUAGGUGGUACAAAAUGAAAACAUAAACUUAAAAUCAAAGCUUAAUUAAAACCAUCCAUGUAGGAGGUAUAAGAACAUAAAAUGAAAUGAAAAUAAAACUUAAUUAAAAACCAUCCAUAUAGGAGGUAAUCAAAACAUAAUUAUAUUAUACAUAAGGA